RNAcentral lists this long non-coding RNA (9202 nucleotides) under Arabidopsis lyrata. Its description in RNAcentral is "long non-coding RNA (ALYR_LNC000805)". Lineage: Eukaryota; Viridiplantae; Streptophyta; Magnoliopsida; Brassicales; Brassicaceae. The record is from RNAcentral.
CUAACGGCCUUGGCAGCUUGUUUCAAGGUGGGGCAAACGCAAUCUGGGUCUUCUGGCGAAGCUCGCUGCAGCACUUCUGGAGUAGCGAGGGUCUCUGCGGGUUCUCGAUGUCGUCUUCCUAAUCGAACUCAUCGUCGAGGGAAGGACCACCACCAUGGCCUUGUCUCAUUUGCUUGCGCAUCAAUCGCUGGCAAGCUCUAAGGUGUUGUUCUUUCUGAAACUCCCUCUGACAUUUCUGUCUUGGGCCUAUGGGGUUGCUGGCGUCAUAGUUCGACGACAGUGCGGUAGAUGGAAGCGUUGGUGAGGAGGAAGCAGAGAGCGAGAGAUGUGCAGACGAGGACGAGUUUGUUCGCCAUUUUUUGCUACUAACUUAGGUAUAUUUUUUGUUUGAGUGAAGAGUGAAAUGAAGGGGUUAUGGGUAUUUAUGGACAAGUGAGGAGUUUGGCAUGGAGAUCACGUGUAUGAAUGCAUGCACAGCAAUAAAAAAAUAAAACAUUUCAUGCAUGUGAUUAUGUGUUAUGUGAGCGCGAAAACACCUCCAAUUUGAUUAUGUGUUAUGUGAGCGAAUGCAUGCACAGCAAUAAAAGGUUGUUUUCGCGAUUAGGUGUUGGAAACUCAAAUUGGAGGUGUGACAAGUCAUGGACAACACCUAGUCUCCGAAAGUUGCACAUAUUAAGAGCAUCUCCAAUGGUGAGAGUCCCCCAUGGGCUCUCACCAAUUGUUUAAACAUAUUUUUUUUUGAAUUUUUAGAUGAGAACUUGGGGUUUUUUUUUUUAAUUUUCAUAGUCUAAUGGUAGUUUCUCUUGUGGGGUUCUUAAAAUUUUUUUUUUUUAAAAUAUUUUGAUUUUGAUGUAAUAUGAUGUUUGGUUUUGAUGUAAUUUGAUGAAUUAGGACAAAGUAAUUGGUGUAAUUAGUGUUUGGUGUUUCAAGAGUUCAUAAUCACAUCAAAAACUUGUCAAAUGCAAAAAAUAGAUUCAUGAUCUACACAUAUUAAACUUGUCAAAUGCAAAACAGAGAUUCAUGAUCUACACAUAUUUUGAUUUGAGUGUCUUGUCUCCUACUUGGCCUAUACAAGACAGAUUUGGUGUCUUCUACAUCAAAAACACAUUCAAAACAAAGCACGUUCAAAUUUAAUAGCAUAGACAAUUCACAAGCAACAUUGAACUUGCCUUCUCCACUGCCUUUCUCCUCUUGGCUUCUCCAUUUGCAGUUCUCCAUUUAUACUCAACAAAAACAGAGAGAAAUAAAGCACAUUAGCAUAAACAAUUCACAUUCAAAAACUAUAUAUUGAUUCAACAACCUAAUCAAACACAACCAACCACACUUUCUAAUUUCUCAACAACCAACAAAAUUGUUAGGCUACAAACGUUUAGAAAACGGAAUCAAAACGUCCAUGAGCUUCUUGAAUCUCUCUUUAGUGCUCUCUUCAAUCUCCUUCAAAAGCUUCUCAUUCCCUUCCUCUAAUUUCGCAGCCAAAGUCUCUAACUCAACUUGAUAAGCUUGUUUCCUCUCUCGAGACCUAGCAGCGGAUUCACGGUUCUUGAUCAUCCUCUUCUGUCUUUGAGCUGCAGCUUUAUCCAUUGCCUUCGUCAUCACUCUCCCUCUCUUUCCUCUCAUUCCUCCUCCUCCAACCAUUGAUCCUUCAAUCAUCUGAAACGAACUGUGUUGCUGCGGCUGAGACAUCAUUGGAAAAUCGAAUGUAUAGCUACCGUCGUUGCCUCCGUCAUCACUCUCCCUCUCUUUCCGUUGUUAACGUUGUUCCGAUCCUUUGUACCAAAACGUGAAGCUUGAAGUUGGUUGUUCUCAGGGCAGACCAUAGGAGUUUAACCUAGCAUUGCCAAACCUGUUAUUUAGAUUAGUGGAUUAGUGGAGUUCACAAUUAAGAAACUGAUUCCAAACAGAAAUAAAGACCUUAAUUCAAGAGCAGCAACAUCAUUAAACUCAGUAUAUGCUUCUAAGGUUAAUAAACUGAAUCAAAUACACCUAGAACAUUACAAUCAAGUACUUAUCAUACAACUAGGCAAGUUAUCGUAUCUCUGCUUCUAAGUUAGUUUCCACGUUUUACCACAAUGUUUUAUACAUAGGUUCAUACAUAUAAAGCUCUCAUGAUUUAGAAUCAAACAAAAACUACCUUUCGAUUACUCCAUCAAGGCAUGAUCUUCUUCCCAAGAAGCAAGAUGCACACACUCACACUAUCACCCACUUAAAGAUCUUGUUCAACACUAGAAAGUAACUUUUCUUUUGACUACUUCAGAAGCAGCUGAAAGAUAUGAUUACAACAACAAAACCCAGCGUUUUUCCAGCAAAUUCUAAAAUGAUGGAACACCCAAGAGAGAAAAAAUAGCAUCUUGCGUGAUGAUAUCAAAGAGUAUCAUCUCCAAACUAGUUUGAGCAAGUUUCAAAAAUCAGUUUGAUCAUCUUCAACCUAAGCUACACAAGAUCAAUUUGCAAAUAGUAAACUUAAAAUUCCCACCUCACAAACAUAUCUACACACAAAAAUUCCAUGAAACCUUAAGGAACCCCAGAAACAACAAAACGAAAACCCUAAUUAUGACAACUAAUUGCGCAAAUCUACACACACAAAAUUGGAGGAUUAACGCAGACAACAAAACACCACCCGAAGCAAGUUUUCCAAUUUCAUGGAGAAAUUGAUAGUGGGGAAAGCUUUAAUCUAAACCUAAUUUAUUAUUUGAUGAUCGAGACGGCGGAUGAUGAUGAUCGAGACAUGAUCACAAAUCUCCUCUGUUUUUGCAGUGGGAGAGAAAGAGAGGAGGAAGAGAGAGAGAAAACACGAACGUCGUUUUUUUGUUUCCUUUCAUAUUAAACGCAUUGACUCACACGACGACACGUCAGCGGCUCUCUCUGAUUCUCAAAUGUCUCUCAAGAGAAUCGGUUCUUUGAUUAUUUAGUAGUUUUGAUUUAUUUUAAUUGCAAUUAAACAAGAGAACCCCACAAUUUUUACUUGAAAACCUUGCUUUGGAGAUGCUCUUAUUAUAUCAUGAAAAAACAAAAAAAAAGUCCAAAUAACUAUAAUUUUUGGUUAUUAGUUAUUAGCAUAUACAAGAGUUAGUAUACAUACUUGCAUAGUCUAAAUGUGAUGUUUUGUAUAUUUAUACUAGCAUUUUUGCAACACUUUGGUGACGGGUGGGUAAAAAUGCUUCUGGGUUAAUCAGAUAUCCGACCCGUUUUUUAAAAUCCUUCACAAAAAAAUUGUUGGAUCGGAUUAUAUUUAACCCAACUCAUACACCGGAUAUUUCAUAUUUAAUAAUUUAGAUAUUUAGAAGAUUUGAUUAAGAUUUAGAAUUAUGAUUCUCCUAUUAUCUUUGUUUGAUUUGUUUUUAACUGUUUUGAAUCAUCAUAGAAUACAUAAAAGUAAAAAAAAAACCAAUUUUUUUUUCUGCAUAUACUGUGAUUCGAAAUUUUUAAAACGGACAUAUAUUAUCUAAUUGACGAAAAUGUGUGUUCAACGUUCUACAUCGAUUAAAAUAUUUAGAUAAUGAUUCAGAAUCAUAUCAUAAAUAAGAUCAACAUUAAUAAAAUAAAUGAGUUUUUUAGCCAGACGGGUUUGGCGGGACGGGUUUUUGAAUCAACAAAUAAUAAAAAAUUAAAAUAUCAUUAAUCUGCCGCUUCAAUACGGAUUAAAUCUUUUUUUUAAUACCACCAAUAUUAGACAUAUUAAAUCAGUCUCAUUUAGAAAAGAUUGUAUAAAACCAAAAAUUGUCCCGUGGUAUAAUGUUACUUAAUAACAAUAUUUAUAAAAUUUAAAUAUCAUUAACAUGCCGCUUUAAUACAUAUUAAAUCUUCAGUUUAUUAAAAUAUAAAUGUCUUAGAGAAUGAUAUGAUUUGUAAACUUUUAUAUAUAAUAAAUAAUCAUUAAAUAUUAAAAUAAAAACAAAUAACGGGACGGGUUGAGAAAUUACGGAACGAGUUAUAUUUCGGAAAAGAUUUAUAUGGCGGACGAAUUUGAAUCAAUAUUUAUAUACCGCUUUAAUACGGGUUAAAUCCUUAGUAUAUUAAUAAUUGUCUCGUGGACUCUUGGUAUACCGUUACUUAAUAACAAUUGUAAACAAUAAUAUAAAUAAAUAUGUUAUAAGGAGAUACAAUUUACAAAAUAUUUUUAUACUAACUUUAAAAUUAAAUCAUCCCGCGAUGUACCGCAGGUUAAAAUCUAGUAUAAUAUUAUAACUUCAAGAAAUCGCUAUUUUGGAUGAACAAGAAAUUAAAACUUUUCCAAAUCACUAGCUCCCGCGACAUGUCAAUCAAUAUUGUUUUGUUCAUAAGUUUUUUAAUAAACAAUACUGUAUUUGUUAUGACAUCUCCUAGUUCGAUCGGGCCUGAAGUAUUGUCUGGUUUAAUUUGGUUUCGGUUUAGUUCGAUUGGUUAAUUUGAUAAAAUCUAAAUUUGAAAUCGAUGUAUAUAUUCUUUUUUCUUUAUUUUUAUUCAGAAUGAAUUUGCAUCUACUAAUCAUAGAGUAGGCUUUAGUAAAUAGGAGACCAGUACUGGUUUAAUAGGACGGCAACAUCAGUAAGCUAGUUAAGUAGUUGCAUAAAAAGAAAUUAAGUAGAUGAGUUUAGUAAUUACAUCGAGGAAUUGGGAAUGAGAUACGUUCUUGCCACCAAAAAGAGAUUCCAAAUUGGUAAGGGCCAUAUCUUCGUUGGGCAGUUGAGAAUAAGUCUUGCCUGAGUCAUUUUUUCGAUCCUUAUUUGGAACUUGAUAAACAAACCUCUCAUUUAUUACGGUGUAUAGUGCUAAUUACAUUAGCCUCAAACAUCCUAAGCUUACAGUUUUAUAAAACACACACGAUGACUGUGUAUAGUAUUAACAUACAUCAAUAGCCACACUCAUGAUCAUCGUGCUAGGGCUUGGAAUCUAGUAGUAAGGAGGGAAGAAAGGGAUGGUGCUCUGGAAGGGACAUUCACCAACUUGCUGGAUUUUGCAAACGUUAGGCAAGUACUUAGCUGUCUGGUAAAUUUUCCUGGAUUCGAAUGGUCCGUGCUGUCCCUGGAGUCUAACAGCUCUAGCCGCCUGUUUCAAGGUGGGGCAAACGCAAACUGGCUCUUCCUGGCGAAGCUCGUUGCAGCACUGCUGGAGUAGCUGGUGUCCCUGCUGGGGGCCCUGUGGGUUCUCCAUGUCGUCUUCGAAAUCGAACUCAUCGCCACGACCUUGCCUUGUUUGCUUCUGCAUCCAUCUCUGGCAAGCUCUUAGGUGCUGUGAUUGCUGGAACUCCUUCUGGCAUCUCUGUCUUGGGCCCAUGGGGUUGGUGGCGUCAUCUUCCUCGAACUCGACGACUGUGCGGUAGAUGGAAGCGUUGGUGAGGAGGAAGCAGAGGGCGAGAGUUGCGCAGACGAGGAAGAGCUUGUUUGCCAUUUUUUGCUAUUUGUGUAUGUUUUCUUGUUUUGGUUUGAGUGAAGAGUGUAGUGAAGGGUUGGUUUUUAUUUAUAGGUGACAAAGGAGAUUUGCAUGGCAAUCACGUGUAAGAAUGCAUGAGUGUGUGUGGAGUCAUGGAGAGAGAGAUUCUCUUACGUUGUUGUCGGGAUUAGGUGUUGGAAAAGAGUGACAAGUGACGAACAAUACCACUCCUAGGCUCCUAGCUCCGCUUCUGCAUGCUAUGUGUGAUUUGUAGCUCAUUUUCUGACAUGACAUUAUGAACGAUUAUAUUUUUUAGAAUUAAGAAGGUAAAACUUUUUUAGUAAAACACACUUUUAAUUUGGUUUUGAUCGAAUGAGAUGCGAAUUCAAUCUUUUGGUGGUAGUGCUGUUGGAAAUAUAGUUUUGUGAGCUUAAUCAGAAACUUAGAAUUUUAAAAUAAAUCUAUAUAGUCACGCAGGCCCGGCUCACUCAUCGGUAAGACCCGGUGCCAUACAAAAAAAAAUCUUAUCUUUAAUAAAAAAUUUAUAUAUAUAUAUAUAUAUAUAUAUUUACAAAAAGUUAUAUUUCAUAAAUUAUUUUGUAUUUUAUAGCUAUUUGGACAUGUUAUUUUUGUUUAUUAAUUUUGGGGCUCAAUAUUACCUUUUAAAAUAAAAUUUUGGGACCUUUACAUAUGGAUAUUGUAUAAAAUUUCAGCAUAAUUAAAUAAUUAAAUAAUAAAAAAACUAUGAAUUUGGACCUUAAAUUUGUUGGACCCGGUGCAAAUGCACCACUUGCACAUGCCAAUAACCGGCCCUGUAGUCACGGUUCACGAACCAUGUAAUAAAAUUUUAUAAAAUAUGAGGGAUAUAUAUUAAAAAAAAAUUCAUAAAUAUUUAACCCUCUAAAUGACUCGUACAAAAAAUACAAACAAUAAGUAAUUUAUCUCUUACAUAAAAUCAGUGGUAAUAAAUUAAAGUUAAGAAAUAAAACCGAAAUAUGUGAGACACACACAUAAUUAGAGGUGUCAAAAACUCAAAAUGCGUCAAAAUUAAACUUAUAGAUUUACCAAAACAUUAUAACCCAAACCGUGAACUACAAGUCAAAGAAAGUAUCAGGAACCAUGUUUUGACUGAAAAUUCAAAAGAGAGAGAUGAAGAGAAUGAGAAGAAGAUAUACAAAAUAUUUUACGAAUUCUGAAUCGAGAGUUAGUACAUCGACUAGUUCAAUCUAGCAAUUACUAUGUUUUUCAUUUCAAAGAGUUAGAAUGACUCAAAGAUAUGAAUGAUACAAAAUCCGAUCCAUAAGACCCAUUAUAUUCUCGAACUUUCCAACCACGUUUAGCUUAAACCAAAGUAAACCCUUUCAAAACCAGACUAAUGGCUCUUUCAGAAAUCUGCAUGCAGCUCUUAACCAGAACUAAUUGUGUUCCCAGAACAACAUCAACACGUUUUUACAAGACAUUGUUUUCUCUGUUUGUUUGAUUGGUAACGUUUUACACUCUUGACCACAAUGGCUAGCCCUUUUUUACAACAAUUGUUAGCGACUAUCGGUCAAACCGAUCAUGUAUGUAAAUUAUAUCAUUUUUGAAUUUCGCUUCCACGGGAUCAUAUCUAAUGUACAAUUAAAUGGCAUGUCUCUUCCACUUGAUGGCGUGCAAAUUCUUGAGGCCAAAAUAGAUAUUAAAACGCACGUGGUAGGGCGGUGGUAACUGGGACUAUGGUGUAAAUACAGACCAGCAUGAUGCUUCAUUCUUAUAGAGAACAAAUUUUCUGCGUGUUGGAUCACUUGGAACUGUGCUUUGGUCAAGUGUUUUAUCCAUGGUGUAGUUUGCCGCACACUCUUGCAAACAAAUUAUUCACCCUUGAAAGUAGUCAGCGCAUAGCCCUAAGUUUUAGUAUGUGUGCAGUGCCGGUCCGGUGAAAUCCGGGGCCAAAUACGAAAAGAAAAAUUGGGGUUUUUUUUAAAAGUAGAAACUGCUAAAAAAUUUUUUUUUGCUAAUUAUGGAGCAUUUAUAAUUUUUAUUUAACAAUUUUUCUUAAAUUUUAAAGAUUUUUUGCUAAUUAUGAGGCCUUUUUGCUAAUUGUGAAGUCUUUUUUUGUUAAUUUUUGAGGCCUCUUUUACUAUUUUGAAGCUUUUUUUUGUUAAUUUUUGAGGCCUCUUUUACUAAUUUUGAAGUCUAUUUCAUAAUUUUAGGGCCUCAAAAAAAAAAAAAAAAAAUUCUUCACAAAAUGAGCCUCGAAAAUUUGAGACCCAAUACAAAUGAUUCACCAAAAUGGGUGAAGGGCCGGGCCUGUAUGUGUACGCGCGAGUCGGUGACUGAACACCAAGUGCUAUACCAAGAAAGAAAUAGCUAGCAUGCAAAAAUGUUCUUUGCAUAUAUCAUAUCAUGCCUGGGCAUUCGGAUUUCAGAUCGGAUUCGGUUCGGAUUUAUUCGGAUUCAGAUAAUUCGGGUAGGAGAUUUUAUUAUCCGUUCGGAUUUUAUGACUAUUCGGAUCGGAUUCGGUUCGGAUAGUAUCGGAUUCGGAUCGGUUUCAGAUCGGUUUUGGAUUGUUUUUCGAGUAAAAAAAACUAAAAAAUGUUCAAUUCAAAUAAAAAAAUAGUUUAAUCUUACUAAAAUUUGGCUAAGUUUUCCAAAAAUAUGUAUAAUUUUAACAAAUAUAACUAAAAACUUUCUGAUAUCUAGGUUAUUUAGGAUAUUUUUGUUAUUUGUUAUAAAAUUAUAGCUAAAUAUAACUAAUAUUUUUGGAUAUAUAAUUUUAUUUUCGGUUUUCGGAUAUCCUUUCGGUUUUCGGUUCAGAUGUGGUUCGAUUCGGAUAAUUCGGAUAGGAGAAUUCAUUAUCUGUUCGGGUUUUGUGACUAUUUGGUUCGGAUUCGGAGCCAGAUUUUUUGGAUCGGUUUCGGAUUGGUUUUCGGAUUUUAUGCCCAGGCCUAAUCAUAUGGAUAAAUGUUUAAUACUUAAGAGUUGAUAAGAUGAUCUAGAAUUAGUUGCAAAUUAUCUUCACCAUAUCUUCAGUUGUGAGAAACAUAUAAUUGAUUGUUAGAGCCUAGAGGGGCACAGUCAUAGAGCAGUUUUUAAUUGGUAUUUUGCUUAACCUGUAAAUUUGAUUGAAAAAUAUUUCGGACCACCUAGAGAGAGCGUAUGCAAGUGAAAAUUAAACAUAAACAAAACUCUUAUUUAUUAAGGACUUGUGCUAAUUACAUUAAUCUCAAACAUCCAAAACUUACAUUUUCAUAAAACACACGAUGAGGUGUGGUGUUAACAUGUAUCAACAACCACACGCUCAUACGCUCGAUGGUUUUGUUUGGAAUCUAGUAGUAAGGAGGGAAGAAGGGGAUGGUGGUCUGGAAGGGGCAUUCACCAACUUGCUGGAUCCUGCAAACCUUAGGCAAGUACUUAGCUGUCUGGUAAAUUUUCCUGGAUUGGAAUGGUCCGUGCUGUCCCUGGAGUCUAACGGCUCUAGCCGCCUGUUUCAAGGUGGGGCAAACGCAAACUGGCUCUUCCUGGCGAAGCUCGUUGCAGCACUGCUGGAGUAGCUGGUGUCCCUGCUGGGGGCCCUGUGGGUUCUCCAUAUCGUCUUCGAAAUCGAACUCAUCUUCACCACCACGACCUUGCCUUGUUUGCUUCUGCAUGAAUCUCUGGCAAGCUCUUAGGUGCUGUGAUUGCUGGAACUCCUUCUGGCAUCUCUGUCUUGGGCCCAUGGGGUUGGUGGCGUCAUCUUCGUUGAACUCGACGACGGUGCGGUAGAUGGAAGCGUUGGUGAGGAGGAAGCAGAGGGCGAGAGUUGCGCAGACGAGGAAAAGCUUGUUCGCCAUUUGGUAUUUGUAUGUGUUCUUACUCGUUAUUUGUGAUGAUG